GAAAAUUCAAGAAAGCACAUAAGAAAAAUAAAAAAAUAAUCAAAAAGAGAAAACCAGGACUGCUAAAUUUAAACUUGAAAGCUCAAAAGAAAAACAUCAAACGAUUUCUUAAUAGAAUCAUGCAAUGCAACCAAAUAGCUUGAAUUUAAAACAUGAAUAUCGAAAUAUUUGCCCAUUGGUCUUUGGCACACUGCUGCAAAGCCUAGAGCAGCCAAGCGUACCAACAAAAUUUAGCAUAUCUUACCAUCAAGCAGGUCCCAGCACGAACAUUACAGAUGGGAUAGUCAUGUGGGCAGCAGCUAUAGUGGUCAUCACAGCAGGUGGCAGCCUCAAGCGGGCAGCAUCCCCAUGCAAAGCAAGAGUUACCAUACUCAAAGACACAGCAGCAAGUGUUGCUCUCAGGGCAAGAGUAAUAAUUGUCACACACAGCAGGAGGCUUUGUUGGAGAUGGAGGGGACGGUCCAGGGUUGGGAGGAUUUUGGCCUUUCUUUAUGGGAUAUGAGGCCUCCAUGGCAAUUCCACACUUGCCCGUGAGAGUGCCAGCCACGUUACGCUCCAUCCUAAUAUAGCCAGCCUCUCCCCAGCUACUGCCCCAUGAAUUCUUCACAAUCCAGUAAUCAGCUCCAUUUUCUGUGCCAUAUCCAACAGCAGUAACACCAUGGUCCAGAGAUGUCCCACAUCUUCCCGUAAAUAUACCCUGAAAAUUUGCAAAGACAGAAAAAUAUACUUGAGACUUCCUUAAAACAGAUCAGACACACACAAGACUCUUCCUGAUCCUGUUUAGAAACCAUUAGAAAUACAAUAAUUUUUGUUCAAAUACCAUCCAGUAUUGUCUCAACCAUAUCUUUUCAGAACUGCAAAAUGCAAAUACUUUGUAUCUAGAUAAUAGCAACAUUCCUAAAUCUAAAAUGUGACAAGUGCCAUGAAGAGAUGAAAGUUAC
RNAcentral lists this long non-coding RNA (941 nucleotides) under Citrus maxima (pomelo). Its description in RNAcentral is "long non-coding RNA (CMAX_LNC001609)". Lineage: Eukaryota; Viridiplantae; Streptophyta; Magnoliopsida; Sapindales; Rutaceae. The record is from RNAcentral.